UACGAAGGGGGCUAGCGUUGUUCGGAAUUACUGGGCGUAAAGCGCACGUAGGCGGCUUUGUAAGUUAGAGGUGAAAGCCCGGGGCUCAACUCCGGAAUUGCCUUUAAGACUGCAUCGCUAGAAUUGUGGAGAGGUAAGUGGAAUUCCGAGUGUAGAGGUGAAAUUCGUAGAUAUUCGGAAGAACACCAGUGGCGAAGGCGACUUACUGGACACAUAUUGACGCUGAGGUGCGAAAGCGU
This 239-nucleotide ribosomal RNA is filed under the name uncultured bacterium. RNAcentral describes it as "partial 16S ribosomal RNA". It matches the Rfam family "Bacterial small subunit ribosomal RNA", at positions 524 to 762 of the family's 1533-position model. The record is from RNAcentral.